CAGAGCGUUUGUGUUGUACUGGUCUGUCGUACUCUCACGACAGUUGCCAUCGUGUUCUGGAAGAAUGAAAGUGUAGGCACAUUGCCCAUGUUGAAUCCGGUUAUAUCUUCUCCCACUGUUUUCUGGACUUCGGCGCUGAUUGCUGCACCCUAUGUGAGUCAGAAUGGCAGCGAGGAAAGCAAAGGAAAGGAAAACUGUCAUUGUACUGCCAGCACACUCCUUCCGUGCCUCUCGCAAAACUUGCUCCUUUCUUCUGACCUCUAAAACUAGUUCUUUAUUUCAGGUACUUCUGGGAGCAAGGCAGGUCCUGGAAUCCCACAGCUUCCUACAACAGGCAUGUCAUCUCAAAGACGUCUUUCUUGACAUGAAGAUAAUGCCGUGUAAACUACUUAUGUUCUUUUUU
Molecule: long non-coding RNA, 403 nt
Filed under: Homo sapiens (human)
Lineage: Eukaryota; Metazoa; Chordata; Mammalia; Primates; Hominidae
Description: HSALNT0141794
Source: RNAcentral